AAGACCUUGCGCUUUUGGAGCGGCCGAUGUCUGAUUAGCUAGUUGGUGGGGUAAUGGCCUACCAAAGCUUCGAUCAGUAGCUGGUCUGAGAGGACGGCCAGCCACACUGGGACUGAGACACGGCCCAGACUCCUACGGGAGGCAGCAGUGGGGAAUUUUGGACAAUGGGCGCAAGCCUGAUCCAGCCAUGCCGCGUGAGUGAAGAAGGCCUUCGGGUUGUAAAGCUCUUUCAGCCGGGGAGAAAAGGCUGCGACUAAUAAUCGCAGUUCAUGACGGUACCGGAAGAAGAAGCACCGGCUAACUACGUGCCAGCAGCCGCGGUAAUACGUAGGGUGCGAGCGUUAAUCGGAAUUACUGGGCGUAAAGGGUGCGCAGGCGGUUUUGUAAGUCAGAUGUGAGAUCCCCGGGCUUAACCUGGGAACU
RNAcentral lists this ribosomal RNA (423 nucleotides) under uncultured bacterium. Its description in RNAcentral is "bacterial SSU rRNA". It matches the Rfam family "Bacterial small subunit ribosomal RNA", at positions 207 to 622 of the family's 1533-position model. The record is from RNAcentral.